GAUGGACGCUGGCGGCGUGCCUAAUACAUGCAAGUCGAGCGAACGGACGAGAAGCUUGCUUCUCUGAUGUUAGCGGCGGACGGGUGAGUAACACGUGGAUAACCUACCUAUAAGACUGGGAUAACUUCGGGAAACCGGAGCUAAUACCGGAUAAUAUUUUGAACCGCAUGGUUCAAAAGUGAAAGACGGUCUUGCUGUCACUUAUAGAUGGAUCCGCGCUGCAUUAGCUAGUUGGUAAGGUAACGGCUUACCAAGGCAACGAUGCAUAGCCGACCUGAGAGGGUGAUCGGCCACACUGGAACUGAGACACGGUCCAGACUCCUACGGGAGGCAGCAGUAGGGAAUCUUCCGCAAUGGGCGAAAGCCUGACGGAGCAACGCCGCGUGAGUGAUGAAGGUCUUCGGAUCGUAAAACUCUGUUAUUAGGGAAGAACAUAUGUGUAAGUAACUGUGCACAUCUUGACGGUACCUAAUCAGAAAGCCACGGCUAACUACGUGCCAGCAGCCGCGGUAAUACGUAGGUGGCAAGCGUUAUCCGGAAUUAUUGGGCGUAAAGCGCGCGUAGGCGGUUUUUUAAGUCUGAUGUGAAAGCCCACGGCUCAACCGUGGAGGGUCAUUGGAAACUGGAAAACUUGAGUGCAGAAGAGGAAAGUGGAAUUCCAUGUGUAGCGGUGAAAUGCGCAGAGAUAUGGAGGAACACCAGUGGCGAAGGCGACUUUCUGGUCUGUAACUGACGCUGAUGUGCGAAAGCGUGGGGAUCAAACAGGAUUAGAUACCCUGGUAGUCCACGCCGUAAACGAUGAGUGCUAAGUGUUAGGGGGUUUCCGCCCCUUAGUGCUGCAGCUAACGCAUUAAGCACUCCGCCUGGGGAGUACGACCGCAAGGUUGAAACUCAAAGGAAUUGACGGGGACCCGCACAAGCGGUGGAGCAUAUGGUUUAAUUCGAAGCAACGCGAAGAACCUUACCAAAUCUUGACAUCCUUUGACAACUCUAGAGAUAGAGCUUUCCCCUUCGGGGGACAAAGUGACAGGUGGUGCAUGGUUGUCGUCAGCUCGUGUCGUGAGAUGUUGGGUUAAGUCCCGCAACGAGCGCAACCCUUAAGCUUAGUUGCCAUCAUUAAGUUGGGCACUCUAAGUUGACUGCCGGUGACAAACCGGAGGAAGGUGGGGAUGACGUCAAAUCAUCAUGCCCCUUAUGAUUUGGGCUACACACGUGCUACAAUGGACAAUACAAAGGGCAGCGAAACCGCGAGGUCAAGCAAAUCCCAUAAAGUUGUUCUCAGUUCGGAUUGUAGUCUGCAACUCGACUACAUGAAGCUGGAAUCGCUAGUAAUCGUAGAUCAGCAUGCUACGGUGAAUACGUUCCCGGGUCU
RNAcentral lists this ribosomal RNA (1372 nucleotides) under uncultured bacterium. RNAcentral's name for it is "bacterial SSU rRNA". It matches the Rfam family "Bacterial small subunit ribosomal RNA", at positions 28 to 1381 of the family's 1533-position model. The record is from RNAcentral.